GUCCCUGUAGCUCAGUGGAUAGAGCAACUGCCUUCUAAGCAGUGGGCCGCUGGUUCGAAUCCAGCCAGGGACGCCA
RNAcentral lists this transfer RNA (76 nucleotides) under Dehalococcoidia bacterium DG_18. RNAcentral describes it as "tRNA-Arg". It matches the Rfam family "tRNA". From Rfam's summary of the family: Transfer RNA (tRNA) molecules are approximately 80 nucleotides in length. Their secondary structure includes four short double-helical elements and three loops (D, anti-codon, and T loops). The record is from RNAcentral. Lineage: Bacteria; Bacillati; Chloroflexota; Dehalococcoidia.